RNA transcript from Polyodon spathula (Mississippi paddlefish), 1238 nucleotides. It is a transcript of the gene named interleukin 15, like, with no coding region annotated. The record is from RefSeq and is a predicted model, not a curated record. Lineage: Eukaryota; Metazoa; Chordata; Actinopteri; Acipenseriformes; Polyodontidae. The transcript is spliced from 7 exons.
AUAGGAUUUGGGCUGCAUUGUCUUUGAGACGGGAAGAACAUGUGUAAACACAUUCUCGACGUAACUGGUAACCUUUCCGUACGUAUCGAUGAGUCAAACAGCUCCUAUCAAAACCGCCCAGCUUGUGUACCUUUAAAUGAGAAAAUGAGACAAAACGCUUGAACCACGCUUUAUCUUGGCCAACAAGAUGCUCGGACAUACACUGAAAGGAUGGUAUCUCCAAAAAACCCCGAAUGAUCUGUGCCAAAGACUGCGCUGUUUCCCUACUGCAGCGAAUCUCUCCCGGCAUUAGUAUUUCUCCGCCACAGUUUUAACGGGUGUGCUGCCCUGGACGGAGGAGAAACAGAGGCUGUGUAACGUGAACAAGCGAUCAUUUUUCCUUCGCUCUCGUUCUGAACCAUGAACUCUGAUUCUGCAGCAUGGUGAGCUGUAAACCACACACAGAGAUGACCCCUUAGAAGUGACCCUGACAUGCACCCAUUUCCAGUCCCACACCGCCGCACUGUCCCGUUGCUGCUGUCUUUAGUCGUCAUAGCGACUCAGAUGUCGCAAGGAGCGCGGUGCGACCCCAAGUGGUACGAAGCCAUAAAAGAGAUGAAAAAAGUGAUCAACGACGUCAUCCCUAAAACCAACAACAGCAUAAACUGCACACUGUACACCCCUGACUCAUCGCUGGUUAACAACUGUAUGAGGACAGCACUGGGCUGCUUCUCCGACGAGUUACACGUCAUGAUUUUCGAGUUUGGCGACCUGCAAAAAGCGUGGACUGUGACGAGAAUGCUGACGGGAAUCAAAGAGAGAGUGGUGGACACUGGUGCCUGUGCUCAGUGUGAGACCUACCAGGAGAAGUCAGUGGGAGUGUUUCUGACGAACCUGCUGAAUUUCCUGCAGCUCCUGGUGUCCUCUGACAUGCUUGGCACGUAGCGCUGGUGCCUGAGCGUCACACAGAGAGAGCCGGGGCCACAACAACUGCUUCCCGACGGUCACACAUUCCACUAGUUCGAGUCGAGGCUAGAAUGUGCUUUUUGGAACUGGAACAAUCUGACUUGACAGUGCCAGGGAAGACAGUGUAAAACAUAAUCUGCUGCGCACUGACAAGCCUGUUCCUCCUCCUGGAUGUGUUUUAAACAAUGAUUUUGAUUCCAGACUAGCACCCUGCUGGAUCCCGACUCUCCCUGGAUACAACUCUGUUUGCUGUUUUUGAAUCCUCUGUACCCCCCCCCCCCCCCCCCCCCCCC